GCCAGCGUAGCCUGUCCAGCCUGGAGCUGUUCCUCUCCUGCGCCCAGAAGCAGCUGAGUGCUCUAAUAGCUACAGAGCCUGUUGACAUUGAGUAGAGACACAGCAGAUCCAUCGGUCGUCAAGCCUGCCCACUCUGAAGCUGUUUUUCUCCUGCGCCCAGAAGCAGCGAGUGCUCUAAUGGCCGUAGAGCCUGGUGGCAUUGAAUAAAGGGAACGUGAUGGGCUGCCUUGCCCUGGC
RNAcentral lists this long non-coding RNA (237 nucleotides) under Mus musculus (house mouse). RNAcentral describes it as "long non-coding RNA chr6:147631590-147631827". The record is from RNAcentral. Lineage: Eukaryota; Metazoa; Chordata; Mammalia; Rodentia; Muridae.